GAUGAAGAACGUAGCGAAAUGCGAUAAGUAAUGCGAAUUGCAGAAUUUCCGUGAGUCAUCGAAUCUUUGAACGCACAUUGCGCCCGCCAGUAUUCUGGCGGGCAUGCCUGUUCGAGCGUCAUUUCAACCCUCAGGCCCCCAGUGCCUGGUGUUGGGGAUCGGCCCAGCCUUCCUGUAAGGCCGCCGGCCCCGAAAUCUAGUGGCGGUCUCGCUGUAGUCCUCCUCUGCGUAGUAGCACAACCUCGCAGUUGGAACGCGGCGGUGGCCAUGCCGUUAAACACCCCACUUCUGAAAGUUGACCUCGGAUCAGGUAGGAAUACCCGCUGAACUUAAGCAUAUCAAUAAGCGGAGGA
RNAcentral lists this unclassified non-coding RNA (353 nucleotides) under soil metagenome. Its description in RNAcentral is "partial contains 5.8S ribosomal RNA, internal transcribed spacer 2, and large subunit ribosomal RNA". The stretch from base 1 to 121 matches the Rfam family "5.8S ribosomal RNA", at positions 35 to 154 of the family's 154-position model. The record is from RNAcentral.